RNAcentral lists this long non-coding RNA (1231 nucleotides) under Equus caballus (horse). RNAcentral describes it as "lncRNA (ENSECAG00000051976.1)". The record is from RNAcentral. Lineage: Eukaryota; Metazoa; Chordata; Mammalia; Perissodactyla; Equidae.
GCCUGCUUUCCUUGCUCCCUCAAGCCAUUUUCGAGCUUGAGACUGCUCUGCUCAUCCCAGAGGCCUCAGUUAUCCCCCCACUGCAUAGCUGUAUAUUCUAGUUGUGAGUGCCUCUAGUUGUGGCAUGUGGGACACCGUCUCAGCAUGGCCUGAUGAGCAGUGCCAUGUCCCCACCCAGGAUCCCAACCGGCGAAACCUUGGGCUGCCAAAGCGGAGCAUGCGAACUUAACCACUAGGCCACUGGGCCGGCCCCUCAUGUGAUUUUUUGAGCUACAUAAGCCUGUCAUUAGGUAUCAUGGAAUGAGCACCUCAUCUCUGUGAACAGUCGCCCCUAACUCUUCCUUCCCGACAAAAGAAUUCUGUCCUGACGGCACCCACUGUCUCUCCAUCUCCACCCGCCCUGUCCCCCCACUGCAGCUCUGCCUGGCUGCCUCUUUGCCAACUCCCGCAAAGAGUCUACUUCACGUUAGAUAAGGAUUCGAGGAGUCAUGUAUUGUUUUUAAAAGGAAGGAGGAGAGCAGACGCAGUCCUAAAACUGCAGGAGGAAAAGGAGGUGAUUCUGUGUCACGUUUGUUUUCAAGAGGGAUGCAGAUGAAAAGAGAAGCACAGGCGAAGCUGCCCAGCGUGCUGAGAUGAAGGAAAGCAUGGCCUUUGCCAAGCGGUGCCAUGUCCGCACCCGGGAUCCGAAACCACGAACCCCAGGCUGCCAAGAAGCGGAACAUGGGAACUUAACCUCUGUGCCACCGGGCCGGCCCCAGCGUUCCUGUGCCUUUUUCGGGGACAGUCUUUCAUGUAAUCAAUUCUUCUAUCAGCUGCCACCUUCAUUCCAGUGCACUUUCAAGCCCUUUCCUGGUACUACCAAGUCACACUGUCUUCAUUUGACAUUUGGUCCUGGAUGUCUUUCUGGAGGCCUCAUCUUUGGACCUUGUCUUCACCUGCCUCCUCCAGUUGUUGCAAGAAUUCUGCUAAGUCAGUUUAGCGAGAAUUCCCCCACCUUGAUAUCUGAUCACGCUGGCCUGCCUUCAGCAAGAAUUUAAAGUCAGUUUGGCAAAAAUCUCCAUUCUCUCAAUGUUUCCUCUUCAUAAUUUUCCAAUCUGCGACCCCCUCACUCUGCGCAUUGACUGAAAAUCCCCAACCCUCUUGCCGUAUUUGGAGUUGAGCCCAAUCUCUUUCCCCUGUUGCAAUACACCUACUGCCACAGUCUUGAAUAAAGUCUUUAUCAUUUUAACAA